AUACGGAGGGGGCUAGCGUUGUUCGGAAUUACUGGGCGUAAAGCGUACGUAGGCGGACUGAUCAGUUGGGGGUGAAAUCCCAGGGCUUAACCCUGGAACUGCCUUCAAUACUGUCAGUCUUGAGUUUGGGAGAGGUGAGUGGAAUUCCUAGUGUAGAGGUGAAAUUCAUAGAUAUUAGGAGGAACACCAGUGGCGAAGGCGGCUCACUGGCCCAUUACUGACGCUGAGGUACGAAAGCGUGGGGAGCAAACAGGAUUAGAUACCCGAGUAGUCC
RNAcentral lists this ribosomal RNA (274 nucleotides) under uncultured bacterium. Its description in RNAcentral is "partial 16S ribosomal RNA". It matches the Rfam family "Bacterial small subunit ribosomal RNA", at positions 523 to 796 of the family's 1533-position model. The record is from RNAcentral.